UUAAAGAGUUCUAUAACUCCCAAACCCAUGUGAACAUACCUAACGUUGCCUCGGCAGGUCGCACCUACCUUGUAGCACCUUACCCUGUAAGGCCUACCCGGGAGGUGCGGGUAAGCCUGCCGGCGGCCCACCAAACUCUGUUUGAUAUUGAAUUCUGAACCUAUAACUAAAUAAGUUAAAACUUUCAACAACGGAUCUCUUGGUUCUGGCAUCGAUGAAGAACGCAGCGAAAUGCGAUAAGUAAUGUGAAUUGCAGAAUUCAGUGAAUCAUCGAAUCUUUGAACGCAUAUUGCGCCCAUUAGUAUUCUAGUGGGCAGGACCGUUCGAGCGUCAUUUCAACCCUUAAGCCUUCGUUGCUUAGUGUUGGGAGCCUACGGCAACGUAGCUCCUCAAAGUUAGUGGCGGAGUUGGUUCACACUCUAGACGUAGUAAUUUUUUAUCUCGCCUAUUAGUUGAACUAAUACCCUGCCGUAAAACCCCCAAUUUAUCAAGGUUGACCUCGAAUCGGUUCAGACAAACUCGCUAAAUUGAAGCAUCUUAGUCAGCGAAGGAAAAGAAACCAACAGGGAUUGCCCUAGUAACGGCGAGUGAAGCGGCAACAGCUCAAAUUUGAAAUCUGGCCCUCGGGUC
RNAcentral lists this ribosomal RNA (630 nucleotides) under fungal endophyte. RNAcentral's name for it is "eukaryotic LSU rRNA". The stretch from base 180 to 333 matches the Rfam family "5.8S ribosomal RNA". The record is from RNAcentral. Lineage: Eukaryota; Fungi.